AGUGAGUUGGCGAACGGGUGAGUAACACGUGGGUAACCUGCCCAGAAGUAGGGGAUAACACCUGGAAACAGAUGCUAAUACCGUAUAACAGAGAAAACCGCAGGUUUUCUUUUAAAAGAUGGCUCUGCUAUCACUUCUGGAUGGACCCGCGGCGUAUUAGCUAGUUGGUGAGGUAAAGGCUCACCAAGGCAGUGAUACGUAGCCGACCUGAGAGGGUAAUCGGCCACAUUGGGACUGAGACACGGCCCAGACUCCUACGGGAGGCAGCAGUAGGGAAUCUUCCACAAUGGACGCAAGUCUGAUGGAGCAACGCCGCGUGAGUGAAGAAGGGUUUCGGCUCGUAAAGCUCUGUUGUUAAAGAAGAACGUGGGUAAGAGUAACUGUUUACCCAGUGACGGUAUUUAACCAGAAAGCCACGGCUAACUACGUGCCAGCAGCCGCGGUAAUACGUAGGUGGCAAGCGUUAUCCGGAUUUAUUGGGCGUAAAGCGAGCGCAGGCGGUCUUUUAAGUCUAAUGUGAAAGCCUUCGGCUCAACCGAAGAAGUGCAUUGGAAACUGGGAGACUUGAGUGCAGAAGAGGACAGUGGAACUCCAUGUGUAGCGGUGAAAUGCGUAGAUAUAUGGAAGAACACCAGUGGCGAAGGCGGCUGUCUGGUCUGCAACUGACGCUGAGGCUCGAAAGCAUGGGUAGCGAACAGGAUUAGAUACCCUGGUAGUCCAUGCCGUAAACGAUGAUUACUAAGUGUUGGAAGGGUUUCCGCCCCUUCAGUGCUGCAGCUAACGCAUUAAAGUAAUCCGCCCGGGGGAGUACGACCGCAAGGGUUGAAACUCAAAAAGAAUUGACGGGGGGCCCGCACAAGCGGUGGAAGCAUGGUGGUUUUAAUUCCAAAGCUACGCCAAGAAACCUUUACCAGGGUCUUGGACAUCUUUCUGACCGUUCUAAGAAAAUUAAAAGGUUUCCCUUUCGGGGGACAGAAAUGAACAGGUGGGUGGCAUUGGUUGUCCGUCAGCCUCCUUGUCCCGUGAAAAUGUUUGGGGUUUAAGUUCCCCGCAAACGAAGGCGCCAACCCCUUUAUUUACUAAGUUUGCCCAGCCAUUUAAAGUUUGGGGCCACUCCUAAUUGGAGAACUGGCCGGGUUGACCAAACCCCGGAAA
Molecule: ribosomal RNA, 1155 nt
Filed under: Pediococcus pentosaceus
Lineage: Bacteria; Bacillati; Bacillota; Bacilli; Lactobacillales; Lactobacillaceae
Description: bacterial SSU rRNA
Rfam family: Bacterial small subunit ribosomal RNA
Source: RNAcentral